This is an RNA transcript of Rhagoletis zephyria (snowberry fruit fly), 2092 nucleotides long. It is a transcript of the gene named RNA/RNP complex-1-interacting phosphatase, with no coding region annotated. The record is from RefSeq and is a predicted model, not a curated record. NCBI's taxonomy places the organism in Eukaryota, Metazoa, Arthropoda, Insecta, Diptera, Tephritidae.
AAGAAAUAAACGUAAUUUUGCUAAAGGUGAUUGUAGUAAUAUCGUAUAAAAGUUCAUAAUUCAAAGUUUGGUGUAUAAGUGCUAAAAUACUUUCUGCAAAUCGCUCAACCACAAAUAUCGAGUUAUGGUGUCCUCAAUACCAGACAGAUGGCUGAGCUAUAAACCAGUCGGAAAACAGAUCGAGGGAACACGCUUCAUUGCCUUUAAAGUGCCGCUGCGUGAGCGUGUUAACGAAAACGUGGAUGAAGAACACCGACUCGAUGCCAAUAUUUUAUUGAAGACGGUUCCCAAUUUGGGGAUGAUUAUUGAUUUGACGAAUACCACCCGGUAUUAUAAUCCACAUAAUUUCAAAGAUAAGGGUUUAGAGUACAUUAAAUUAAUGAUUCCUGGACAUGAUACGCCCUCACCGCGCAUGAUUAACCAAUUCAAAACUCUGGCGAUGACUUUUUUAAACAAUAACUCUGAUAAUGAUAAACUGAUUGGUGUUCAUUGUACGCAUGGAGUCAAUCGCACUGGGUUCCUAAUAUGUAACUACAUGAUCUCUGAGUUAGAUAUGAAGCCUGAAGAGGCGAUAGACAAAUUCGCUGCUGCGCGUGGCCAUAAAAUCGAGCGCAGAAACUAUUUAGUCUCCCUAAAUCAUUUAAAGAAUGCGAUCAAAAGUGACAACAGUGGCAGUCCGAAAAAUGACUUCAAGGAUGAUUUGAUCGAUAACAACAAGCGAGCCAUACGUUCCAAUCAAACUCACAGCAAAGAGAUUUCAUCUUUACAUUCACCUGCUCCAGAAUCAGCAUUACCGCCCUCAACAGAGGAGUUCGAUAGGCGUGAUCGAUAUGAGCGUUUUCGACAGGAAUCGAAUAUGCAACGUCAGCGUCACACGAGUGCUGCCGUAACUGCAGCCGCACAAUCCGAACAACAAUAUAUGGAUAAUAACUUUAACAGCGCACAGGGCAAUAGCUCGAACUAUAACAGGAGAUAUGUGAAUACUAGUCGUAACUGUUCGCAAGGUGGCGCAAAUUAUCCAUACCAUAAUAAUCAUAACAGCUACGCGAUGCACUCGAAUAAUAGUCAUUCGCGUGCGCCUGAUAGUCGCCGGUAUGAUGAAGAGCCAAGUCGUAGGCGAAAUGAACAUGUACCAAGCAGUAGCGAUCGUUAUAGUGGCGAACGCAGGCACGACAGACAUCGAUCUCAUCCAUAUCGGCGCGUAUAGCAUAUGAUUAGACUAAUAUUUGCUUUAAUUUUUUUAAUUUUGAGUACAUUUAAUAUUUUUUCUCACCUUUACUAAUUAGACAAGUACAAUUGUGGAUGGUAUGUUUCAAUUAUGUUCACUUGCUAAUAUUUGUGCCAAAAUAUUACAAGAUACUGCCUACCGCUCCAAAAUAGUAAAUUUGGUUCUGCUUCCGCAUUUGAACCAUAGCAGUUGGUACAUUUAAUGGUUCCCAGCAAAAUAAUUUGGCUGAAUUCAGUGUCACUCGUUCAGAAAUUUUAAGAAAAAGCAAUUGCUUAGUUUCUAUUCAUACGGCCCAAUAUUAAAUAUUGAGAAUAUAAUUAAAACUUUAAAGUCAGAAAUAUACGAGUAUUCUCAAAAAGCGACAAUGGGCUCAGAGGUGACGAAGUUAUUUAAGUUUUCAUGAAAAUCGCAUUGAAAAGAAACAAAUUGUUUCGGUGGGAACUAGUAAAUGGACUAAAUUGUAUGAUUCACUUAGGAAAAAUAUACCCAAUUCGCGCGGCAGACUACAUACACAUAUGUAUAUAGAUAUGUAUGUUUAUAAAGUGCAUAAAAUGCUGACUAAAUUAUGAAGCUAUAAUUUUUAUCGUAUAAAUGAAUUUUAUUUAACCAUUAAAGAGUAUUGUAUGUCUUUUUUAUUCGCUAUGCCUAGCAAGGGAAUCUUCAAUUUAAUUUUGGGCUUCUAAAAAUGCCAUUUCAUACUUUUUUUUACCUAUUAAAUAUGUAAAAAUUAUAAAUAUCUAGCUUAAAUGACUUUUUGCUAAGAAAUUAAAUACAUUUGAAGAGCUUUAUUAAGUGAUAUACAGAUGCGUGCAACUAAUUAGCAACGAAAUUCAAAACGAUAUUGCUUGCAAAUUAUGUUUAUUU